GGCGGGGUGGCCUAAUGGUAAGGCGCUACUUUCCGGUGGUAGAGAUUCAGGGUUCGAGUCCCUGCCUCGUCG
Molecule: transfer RNA, 72 nt
Organism: Pestalotiopsis fici W106-1
Lineage: Eukaryota; Fungi; Ascomycota; Sordariomycetes; Amphisphaeriales; Sporocadaceae
Rfam family: tRNA
About the family: Transfer RNA (tRNA) molecules are approximately 80 nucleotides in length. Their secondary structure includes four short double-helical elements and three loops (D, anti-codon, and T loops). Further hydrogen bonds mediate the characteristic L-shaped molecular structure. tRNAs have two regions of fundamental functional importance: the anti-codon, which is responsible for specific mRNA codon recognition, and the 3' end, to which the tRNAs corresponding amino acid is attached (by aminoacyl-tRNA synthetases). tRNAs cope with the degeneracy of the genetic code in two manners: having more than one tRNA (with a specific anti-codon) for a particular amino acid; and 'wobble' base-pairing, i.e. permitting non-standard base-pairing at the 3rd anti-codon position.
Source: Rfam